Molecule: ribosomal RNA, 450 nt
Filed under: uncultured bacterium
Lineage: Bacteria
Description: bacterial SSU rRNA
Rfam family: Bacterial small subunit ribosomal RNA
Source: RNAcentral
ACUCCUACGGGAGGCAGCAGUGGGGAAUCUUGCGCAAUGGGGGGAAACCCUGACGCAGCAACGCCGCGUGCGGGACGAAGGCUCUCGGGUCGUAAACCGCUUUCAGGAGGGAAGAAAAUGACGGUACCUCCAGAAGAAGCCCCGGCCAACUACGUGCCAGCAGCCGCGGUAACACGUAGGGGCGAGCGUUGUCCGGAUUUAUUGGGCGUAAAGAGCUCGUAGGCGGCUUGGUAAGUCGGGUGUGAAACCUCCAGGCUCAACCUGGAGACGCCACUCGAUACUGCUAUGGCUAGAGUCCGGUAGGGGAGCGUGGAAUUCCUGGUGUAGCGGUGAAAUGCGCAGAUAUCAGGAGGAACACCAGCGGCGAAGGCGGCGCUCUGGGCCGGAACUGACGCUGAGGAGCGAAAGCAUGGGGGAGCGAACAGGAUUAGAUACCCUGGUAGGACAGUG